Molecule: ribosomal RNA, 253 nt
Filed under: uncultured prokaryote
Description: partial 16S ribosomal RNA
Rfam family: Bacterial small subunit ribosomal RNA
Source: RNAcentral
UACGUAGGGGGCAAGCGUUGUCCGGAUUUAUUGGGCGUAAAGAGCGUGUAGGCGGCCAGGCAGGUCCGUUGUGAAAACUCGAGGCUCAACCUCGAGACGUCGAUGGAAACCGUCUGGCUAGAGUCCGGAAGAGGAGAGUGGAAUUCCUGGUGUAGCGGUGAAAUGCGUAGAGAUGUGGAGGAACACCAAUGGCGAAGGCAGCCCCCUGGGUCGAUACUGACGCUCAUGCACGAAAGCGUGGGUAGCAAACAGG